RNAcentral lists this small nuclear RNA (163 nucleotides) under Salvator merianae (Argentine black and white tegu). Its description in RNAcentral is "U1 spliceosomal RNA (ENSSMRG00000017587.1)". It matches the Rfam family "U1 spliceosomal RNA". From Rfam's summary of the family: U1 is a small nuclear RNA (snRNA) component of the spliceosome (involved in pre-mRNA splicing). Its 5' end forms complementary base pairs with the 5' splice junction, thus defining the 5' donor site of an intron. Lineage: Eukaryota; Metazoa; Chordata; Lepidosauria; Squamata; Teiidae. The record is from Rfam by way of RNAcentral.
AUACAAAUCUGGCAGGGGAGACAUCAUGAUCAUGAAGGUGGUUUCCCAGGGUGAGGCUAAUCCACUGCAUUUCGGGUGUGCUGACCCCUGUGGUUUGCCCAAAUGCAGGAUACCUGACUGCUUAAUUUGUGGAAGUGGGGAACAGUGUCUGCGCUUUCCCCUC